CUACGGGGGGCUCCAGUGGGGAAUAUUGCACAAUGGGCGCAAGCCUGAUGCAGCAACGCCGCGUGAGGGAUGAAGGCCUUCGGGUUGUAAACCUCUUUUAGCAGGGAAGAAGCGAAAGUGACGGUACCUGCAGAAAAAGCACCGGCUAACUACGUGCCAGCAGCCGCGGUAAUACGUAGGGUGCAAGCGUUGUCCGGAAUUAUUGGGCGUAGAGAGCUCGUAGGCGGUUUGUCACGUCUGCUGUGAAAAUCCAAGGCUCAACCUUGGACUUGCAGUGGGUACGGGCAGGCUAGAGUGCGGUAGGGGAGAUGGGAAUUCCUGGUGUAGCGGUGGAAUGCGCAGAUAUCAGGAGGAACACCAAUGGCGAAGGCACAUCUCUGGGCCGUAACUGACGCUGAGGAGCGAAAGCGUGGGGAGCGAACAGGAUUAGAUACCCUAGUAGUC
RNAcentral lists this ribosomal RNA (444 nucleotides) under uncultured bacterium. RNAcentral describes it as "partial 16S ribosomal RNA". It matches the Rfam family "Bacterial small subunit ribosomal RNA", at positions 339 to 795 of the family's 1533-position model. The record is from RNAcentral.